RNAcentral lists this ribosomal RNA (253 nucleotides) under uncultured bacterium. RNAcentral describes it as "partial 16S ribosomal RNA". It matches the Rfam family "Bacterial small subunit ribosomal RNA", at positions 524 to 776 of the family's 1533-position model. The record is from RNAcentral.
GACGUAGGGGGCGAGCGUUGUCCGGAAUUAUUGGGCGUAAAGGGUAGGUAGGUGGUCUCAUUUGUCUGGGGUGAAAGCCUUGGGCUUAACCCAAGAAGUGCCCCAGAAACGGUGAGACUCGAGUGCUGGAGAGGGUCGUGGAAUUCCCGGUGUAGCGGUGAAAUGCGUAGAGAUCGGGAGGAACACCAGAGGCGAAGGCGGCGACCUGGACAGUUACUGACACUAAACUACGAAAGCGUGGGGAGCAAACAGG